This 253-nucleotide ribosomal RNA is filed under the name uncultured bacterium. Its description in RNAcentral is "partial 16S ribosomal RNA". It matches the Rfam family "Bacterial small subunit ribosomal RNA", at positions 524 to 776 of the family's 1533-position model. The record is from RNAcentral.
UACGUAGGGGGCAAGCGUUGUCCGGAAUCAUUGGGCGUAAAGAGCGUGUAGGCGGCUUGGUAAGUCCGCUGUGAAAGUCCAGGGCUCAACCCUGGAAUGCCGGUGGAAACUGUCAAGCUUGAGUCCGGAAGAGGCGAGUGGAAUUCCUGGUGUAGCGGUGAAAUGCGCAGAUAUCAGGAGGAACACCAAUGGCGAAGGCAGCUCGCUGGGACGGUACUGACGCUAAGACGCGAAAGCGUGGGGAGCAAACAGG